This 253-nucleotide ribosomal RNA is filed under the name uncultured bacterium. RNAcentral's name for it is "partial 16S ribosomal RNA". It matches the Rfam family "Bacterial small subunit ribosomal RNA", at positions 524 to 776 of the family's 1533-position model. The record is from RNAcentral.
UACGUAGGUGGCAAGCGUUGUCCGGAUUUACUGGGCGUAAAGAGCGCGCAGGCGGUCGUUCAAGUCGCGUGUGAAAGCCCCCGGCUCAACUGGGGAGGGUCACGCGAUACUGAUCGACUGGAAGGCAGGAGAGGGUAGUGGAACUCCCGGUGUAGUGGUGAAAUGCGUAGAUAUCGGGAGGAACACCAGUGGCGAAGGCGACUACCUGGCCUGUUCUUGACGCUGAGGCGCGAAAGCUAGGGGAGCAAACGGG